UCUACUCUAUUAUUUUCUACUGUGCCAGGUGUUUUCUCGAGUCUUGUGUAUUUCGGCACAGGAGUUUGUGUUUGUUUAUUUAUCUUGUGACCGCUGUGUUAGCGGGGUACCCGUAGUGCAUGCAUGUGUUUUUCUUCGCUUCCGUUGCUCUCAUCUUUGAGUAUGCAUGCCGGGGUGGUUUUUGUCUGGUGUCUCAUUCUUUUCUCCUCCCGUAGGCGCUCCCGUUCGGGUAGUCCGGGUGCUUGGGAUAUCCGGGCGGGGGUGCUUACAAUGUUGGUAUCAGAGCGUAGUUUGAGUCAAUUUUGGGGACGAGUUCCUGUACACCAAAGUUGUCGGAUGUUUAGUGUUGUAUGCAGAUUUUGAGUAUUCCCAAUAAGACCCGAAGGCCUAGAUUCCCAAUGUACCCUUACCCAACUCGGAUGUGCUCUCAGAAUUGCAUUGUUUAUGGUGUCAGUGGGAACAGGAGUUUGCUUCUGGAUGGGGAGGCGGGCAAGACGAAGAGGAGUACCUAGUGAGUUAUGUGUAUCGGCUUGACGAGUUGUCUCAAGAGAUGAUCCACGAGAUCUUUUUGGGGACUGUCAGAGAGACAAGUCAUGUUCGCCCGCGAGCACAUGAAGGACAUGUGGAGGCGACUGACUAAAGUAGUGAUGAAUGAUGGGAGCCUUCGUUCCCAUUAUGAUGUUUUUGCCAGGGCUGUGAGGCAAUAAGAUGCCAUUUGGGAGCCUUACUAGGGAUUGAUACAGAGUGUGCCCAGGAUUGGAACACUACCUGACACUCAGUCAGUUUGAGCCACUGUGAGGGUGUCGUCAUAACCACCGGAGGGACUUGUUGGACUUAGCUUACUUGGCAGAUGAUUUGCCGGGCUAACUCUGAGGUGUUUUCUAAAGAGGUCUGGAGUUCCUUGGUCUCGCUAGGUGUUGUCGACGUCCUAUUAAGGCUAGCGUCAAUGUCAUGAGAGAUGAGGUCAUGGUAGAAUGUGAUCUGGAGGUUCAUGAUUGAAUUUUGCCAGGAGUGGUACGGGAAGGUCCCACAUGGUGGAAAAUGUGCUAUAGAAGUCCAAUGGUUACUAGUAGAUCUGUAGGUACCGAGAUGUGUAUAGGGUGUACUGAGAUGGAAAACUGAAGGUUGGUUAAUGUGGUAGUUGAUGGUUUAAACUGUCUGUACAUAUUCAGACUGGAGAUAUGUAUCGUAAGGAAGUGUGAAGGUAAAUUGAGGUUCUGAGGGGUUUGCAUUUUCUUGGAGGUUUAGGGCAGCAACCCUAAGUUUUAAUCGAAUUUGGAUGGAUAACUCGGAACACUAAUACGAAGUCCCAAGAGAGAUCUGUGAUGAAAAUUCACUGAAAGACUAUUAUGGAAUUGAGGACUUGGCUUUUACAGCAGUUAUGCUGUUUGGAGAUUUGGCAUUACAACCUGGCUAGGGUGUAGGUGUUUAGUUCUCACAGAUGGAGCGGAGUUCAGGUGACGCCGCGAUUGGCGUGGCAAAUGACUAAGGCUGUGAGGUUCUGUAACAAAUAGGGUAAAGUAAAGGUGGUAACAGGUGUUUUAGGCUAUCGUGGUGCAUCCGUGAUAAUGUGAAUUAGAAGUAAGGAAAACCCCUCUACGUUUGGUGUUGUGGGAGAUACCCCGGUGUAUGGCCACGGCCGAAAUUGGAUACAGGUCUAAGUAACUAUUGGGUUCUGCUGCAAGGAUAGUAGUUGCUAUGAGUACGCGCGGUGCUAAUCACGGACCACAUGCCCUAGGGUCGGAUUAUUGACCGAGAGAGGAGAUGAGACUCCUUUGGGUGCUGGUCAAGUGGUACAUCGGCAAAAACAUGAGAUGGUCUAUUAUGCCAGCCAAAAGAAUGCUUAACCCACUUCAGUUACUUUUCGUGGUUGAUGAGACUUAUAAGAUGCCUUGGAGAUUAGAUAGUUACUGACACGGUGAGGUGCUUUCAGCCUAGUAGGCUACAGAGCGGAUAACGUUGGUUUUAAAGCUUAUGUUCUAGCUAGCCUAUUGAGUCUUUGAGGAGUGCCAAUUCCUUUAAGGAGGGGAGAUCUGGUGACAUUUAGAUCUCAAGAUGUAAUGAGUGGAGACUGUAUAUCCCUUGAUAGUCCUGAUUAAAUGGCUACUCAUGUUUAUUAACAGGACCCCGAACGUACGCGGCAAGUUGUGGGAGAAAGUACUGCCGAGAAAAUGAUGUGUAUCUGGUUAAGAAUCAGUUGGCAAAAGUCAGACUAAAGGAUAUUGCUGCUGAAACCUUGAUUGAGGAUGUCGUAUCGUUUCCGUGUUCCAGUGCGUCGUAAGUACGUGGCAGGUUUAGGUCGUGUUAUCGAAUAUUAGCUUCUCGCCAUGUAAGAGGAUGGCCCCACUCCUAUCGUUAUCAGUUGAGUUAUGAGAUAGUAAUAGAAGAACCUUGAUGACGUCUCUUAGGCUGGUUAAGGUAUUAGUGGUCAUAUCGUGGUUCACUUGCGGUGAUGGAUUAGGGAGAUGUGCUAGUGUAUUAAGUCAAGUAGGAUAUGUCGUGGACUUGGACUUGUGAGAAUUGGAAAAUGAUGAUAUGGAAGGUCUCGGAAGAUGUGUUAGGUAAUAUCAUGAGAAUCGUGAGCGUAUCUUGAGGACAUGGACUGAGCGCGAAUUUCGAGGACGAAAUUCUAUUAAGGAGGGGAGAAUUGUAAUAUCCCGAAAAUUUGAGAAAUAAAUAAUGAUUAAUAAUUUUGGCAUUUGAUGUCAUUUUGGAGUAUUAGAGAAAUUAAGAGAAAAUAUUUACUUAUGUUAUUUUGAGAAAAUAAGUAAAUAAGAUAAUUAUUAAUUCUUGCAUUUAUGGAAAUUAUUAAUUUAUUUGGGAAUUUGGAGAUAUAAGAAAAAAUAAAUUAAUUUAAUGGAUUUUUGAAAGUUUUCGGGUGUAAGUGCAAUAAAGGAAAUUGGAGUCUGGGGUGUGUGUGCCAAUAAUGAAAGUUCUGGGGGCUGAAAUGUGAUUUGCCGAAGUGGCCGCAAAUCACCUUAAAUAUAAGUGAAGGCAUUAUAUGGUUAAAGGAGUUGGCUAGCGCGGGCGGUCGCGAGUGCUCGUGUGCUGGGUGAGGUCGCGGGUUCGAGCCCCCUCGGGUGUGCGCGCGCGCUGGAGAAUUUUGGCUGAUUUUUCAGCCAAAAUCCUUGCCCAAAACGGCGUCGUUUUGGGCAAGGCGGUGGCAGCCAUGUGCAGCUGCUGGGCGCGCCACGUGGCGCGCUGUGGGCCGCCCAUUUGCCUCGCGUUAAAGCAGCAUUUUUGCUGCGAUUUUAAGGCCGAUUUCGGCCAAAUUUGAGACAGAACCAGAGGAAGAAAAAUGAAGAAGAAGCAGCGCGCGCGAGGGUCAUUUUUUUAGAGAAAAAUUGAAGAUUAAAUUACGUUUAAUCGUGAUUUAAUUAAUCAGCGUGUAUUAAUUUGGUGAUGUUUAAGCAUGAAAACGCUGUAAUCAGCUUAAGCGAGGCAAGUUCUCCUCUACCCUUGCGAUCUAUUUCCAUUUGGUAGUGGCGGCGUGGGCCAUAGCAAGGGAGUCAGCUUUAACGGCAGAGUCGGUGUGGUGUACAGGCAGUCUCGUCAAUCCCUGUCAACUCUGAUGAUUGUGUAGGGUCUACUCUAUUAUUUUCUACUGUGCCAGGUAGUGGCGGCGUGGGCCAUAGCAAGGGAGUCAGCUUUAACGGCAGAGUCGGUGUGGUGUACAGGCAGUCUCGUCAAUCCCUGUCAACUCUGAUGAUUGUGUAGGGUCUACUCUAUUAUUUUCUACUGUGCCAGGUAGUGGCGGCGUGGGCCAUAGCAAGGGAGUCAGCUUUAACGGCAGAGUCGGUGUGGUGUACAGGCAGUCUCGUCAAUCCCUGUCAACUCUGAUGAUUGUGUAGGGUCUACUCUAUUAUUUUCUACUGUGCCAGGUGUUUUCUCGAGUCUUGUGUAUUUCGGCACAGGAGUUUGUGUUUGUUUAUUUAUCUUGUGACCGCUGUGUUAGCGGGGUACCCGUAGUGCAUGCAUGUGUUUUUCUUCGCUUCCGUUGCUCUCAUCUUUGAGUAUGCAUGCCGGGGUGGUUUUUGUCUGGUGUCUCAUUCUUUUCUCCUCCCGUAGGCGCUCCCGUUCGGGUAGUCCGGGUGCUUGGGAUAUCCGGGCGGGGGUGCUUACAGUAUCUAUGUUGCAUCUGUCAACUAACACCUUAUUUUGUCGAUCGAAUUUUGAAUUUAUACACAAUUCUGUAGAUCGAUUUUUGAAUUUAUACACUAAUGUGUCAAUCGAUGCCUUGCAUCCGUCGACUAUUUUUUGUCUUAGAAUCACCAACGGCUAAUUCUGAAGUGCAUUAAAUACGCCCCAAUUACCUCAAACAAUCAAAAAUUUGAAAGCAUUCACCCACAUUUGUAAAUACUUAGUUGGUGGAGCAUUUAAAGGGUUCGAAGAAUUUAUUUCCAAGCUUCCAAGAGAGUCAAUCAAUAUAUUGUGCUUACAUCUUUUAUUCUCUCAUUUUUG
Molecule: long non-coding RNA, 4461 nt
Organism: Diospyros lotus (date-plum)
Lineage: Eukaryota; Viridiplantae; Streptophyta; Magnoliopsida; Ericales; Ebenaceae
Exons: 5
Source: RefSeq, a predicted model, not a curated record